Molecule: unclassified non-coding RNA, 372 nt
Filed under: uncultured bacterium
Lineage: Bacteria
Description: contains 16S-23S intergenic spacer region
Source: RNAcentral
UCCUGGUUAACCCAGGCAGUCUCACUAGAGUUCCCACCUUUACGUGUUGGCAACUAAUGAUAAGGGUUGCGCUCGUUGCGGGACUUAACCCAACAUCUCACGACACGAGCUGACGACAGCCAUGCACCACCUGUUAUGGGCCCUUUCGGACGCCGUAUCUCUACGGUUUUUCCCAUAAUGUCAAACCCAGGUAAGGUUCUUCGGGUCGCAUCGAAUUAAGCCGCAUGCUCCGCCGCUUGUGCGGGGACCCGUCAAUUCCUUUGAGUUUUAGCCUUGCGGCCGUACUCCCCAGGCGGGGCACUUACUGCGUUAGCUGCGGCACCGACGGUAACCCGCCGACACUUAGUGUCCAUCGUUUAGGGCGUGGACUAC